This 425-nucleotide ribosomal RNA is filed under the name uncultured bacterium. Its description in RNAcentral is "bacterial SSU rRNA". It matches the Rfam family "Bacterial small subunit ribosomal RNA", at positions 33 to 502 of the family's 1533-position model. The record is from RNAcentral.
UACGCUGGCGGCACGCCUAACACAUGCAAGUCGAACGAAGUAGUAAUACUUAGUGGCAGACGGGUGAGUAACAUGUGGGUAUCUGCCCUUUGGCCUGGAAUAACACGAGGAAACUUGUGCUAAUACCGGAUAAGUCUUUACGGAGAAAGCUUUAUGCACCAUUGGAUGAGCCUGCACUUGAUUAGUUUGUUGGUGGGGUAAUGGCCUACCAAGACUGUGAUCAAUAGCUGAUUUGAGAGGAUGAUCAGCCACAUUGGGACUGAGACACGGCCCAAACUCCUACGGGAGGCAGCAGUGGGGAAUCUUGCACAAUGGAGGAAACUCUGAUGCAGCGAUGCCGCGUGAGUGAAGAAGGCCUUUGGGUUGUAAAGCUCUUUCGUCGGGGAAGAAAAUGACUGUACCCGAAUAAGAAGGUCCGGCUAACU